GCCUGGGUGGCUCAGUUGGUUAAGCAUCUGACUUUGGUUCAGGCCAUGAUCUCAUAGUUCAUGGGUUCGAGCCCCAUGUUGGGCU
RNAcentral lists this transfer RNA (85 nucleotides) under Felis catus (domestic cat). It matches the Rfam family "tRNA". Rfam says of the family: Transfer RNA (tRNA) molecules are approximately 80 nucleotides in length. Their secondary structure includes four short double-helical elements and three loops (D, anti-codon, and T loops). Lineage: Eukaryota; Metazoa; Chordata; Mammalia; Carnivora; Felidae. The record is from Rfam by way of RNAcentral.